UGAAAGACGAACAACUGCGAAAGCAUUUGCCAAGGAUGUUUUCAUUAAUCAAGAACGAAAGUUGGGGGCUCGAAGACGAUCAGAUACCGUCCUAGUCUCAACCAUAAACGAUGCCGACCAGGGAUCGGCGGAUGUUGCGUUUUAGGACUCCGCCGGCACCUUAUGAGAAAUCAAAGGUUUUUGGGUUCCGGGGGGAGUAUGGUCGCAAGGCUGAAACUUAAAGGAAUUGAUUCAAUAAAGAUAAAUUUUAUACAUUCAGAUUUUAAAAAUCAAAC
This 275-nucleotide non-coding RNA is filed under the name Nicotiana attenuata. Its description in RNAcentral is "Eukaryotic small subunit ribosomal RNA". It matches the Rfam family "Eukaryotic small subunit ribosomal RNA", at positions 929 to 1669 of the family's 1831-position model. The record is from Rfam by way of RNAcentral. Lineage: Eukaryota; Viridiplantae; Streptophyta; Magnoliopsida; Solanales; Solanaceae.